This 1251-nucleotide long non-coding RNA is filed under the name Equus caballus (horse). Its description in RNAcentral is "lncRNA (ENSECAG00000040492.3)". The record is from RNAcentral. Lineage: Eukaryota; Metazoa; Chordata; Mammalia; Perissodactyla; Equidae.
CAUUUCUUCUAUACAAUAAAAAUAUACCAGAAGGUGUGAAUUCUCAAUAAAUGGUAGCUAGCUCAUGCUGUCUUAACAAAGUUAUUCUCCCACAAAGGACUCAAAUUGAUAUUUUUGGGUACAUGAGAAUAUGGAUGCAUAUGUGUAUAUAAAUAUAUAUCUUUGUCUUUAAAAUGUUUUAUUAAGUUUAGUUUUAGUUUACUACAAAUUCUAAAAUUUAUAACUUCUUCUGAUCAGUGCUGAUGGUACAGGAAAAGUUUGAGGUGGGAGAAGUCAGUGUACACAUGUAUGGUAGUGACCAGUGGCUUUUAAAUAAUGACAUCUCAGAUCUUCAUUUCUUACAUAGAAAGUGGCUGAUGAAUGGCAGGAGUGGAAGAAGGUGUCCCCAAACACAUUUGUCCUGCAGAGAAAUUAAUGAAGUGUUACGGCUGCAAUCUAGUAAUUGCUACCCAAGGGGAUGUUCAUGUCAGCCUUGAGGUUCUGAUUGUAGAACUCAAGGAUGAUCAAGGAGAAGGAUUUGGAUGGUAGCAUGGAUAGAGAUGGACCCCAGCCCAGUGACUAAACCAAAGAAUAACUGAGAAGCCAAAUUAAUAGUCAGAGGAUCCUUCAGGGAGUUUAGAAUCAGGGCAAGAGGCGGAAAUCUUGAAGAAUCUUUCAUCCAGGUCAUGAAUUUGAAUUAAGAAAUAGAAGACAUAGCCAAGAGUACAUGGAGACCCAGGUGGAAAAAAAGCCCUUGACCAGAGACACAAGAGGAAUAACUUGGUUCAAUUGACUCAGCAGAGAAAACCAGAAAUGAAUGCUUCAGAUUCCAAAUUAUGUUCUUUCCAGAGUGGAACCCCUGUGAAUCCGCUCCAAGGUAAGGUAACAACAAAGACCUUUUUCUCCCUCUCUAAUGAAUUAAACUUCCAUUUCCCUAGUUGGCUAGGUACCGUUGCUGAAAGGCAAUUUACUCAUCUGCAAAAUGGUGUCUGAGUAGUCAUUUCCAGAUGUACCUUUAGUUACGGCAGACAUUGGAACACAAAGGAAUUAUAGUGCAGGUCACCUUUGGCAUUCUCUAGUGUAAUCAUCACACCUUCUUAGGGACUGCAGGUAGGACCCGGGCCCUCACCAAUGAGACGCUGCUGCUCACGACACUUUCCUACCACCUGUGCAUACCACUGCCGUUGUGAGAAAUCAACCAUACUUCAACAAGAUCAGUGCUCUGUAAAUUAGUUCUUUACAUUGUUAAAGAUAGAGUCCCUAAGAACAGGC